GAUGAACGCUGGCGGCGUGCCUAAUACAUGCAAGUCGAACGCGCAGCGAGAGGUGCUUGCACCUUUCAAGCGAGUGGCGAACGGGUGAGUAACACGUGGAUAACCUGCCUCAAGGCUGGGGAUAACAUUUGGAAACAGAUGCUAAUACCGAAUAAAACUUAGUAUCGCAUGAUACAAAGUUAAAAGGCGCUACGGCGUCACCUAGAGAUGGAUCCGCGGUGCAUUAGUUAGUUGGUGGGGUAAAGGCUUACCAAGACAAUGAUGCAUAGCCGAGUUGAGAGACUGAUCGGCCACAUUGGGACUGAGACACGGCCCAAACUCCUACGGGAGGCUGCAGUAGGGAAUUUUCCACAAUGGACGGAAGUCUGAUGGAGCAACGCCGCGUGUGCGAAGAAGGUUUUCGGAUUGUAAAGCACUGUUGUAUAGGAAGAAUAAGGUAAACAGGGAAUGGUUUACUGAUGACGGUACUAUACGAGGAAGUCACGGCUAACUACGUGCCAGCCGCCGCAGUAAAAC
This 516-nucleotide ribosomal RNA is filed under the name uncultured bacterium. RNAcentral describes it as "bacterial SSU rRNA". It matches the Rfam family "Bacterial small subunit ribosomal RNA", at positions 28 to 526 of the family's 1533-position model. The record is from RNAcentral.